Molecule: long non-coding RNA, 541 nt
Organism: Chinchilla lanigera (long-tailed chinchilla)
Lineage: Eukaryota; Metazoa; Chordata; Mammalia; Rodentia; Chinchillidae
Exons: 3
Source: RefSeq, a predicted model, not a curated record
GCAGAGUGCUGGGAUUACAGUCGUGUACCACUACGCCCUGUUACUAUUAUUACACUCACUCUUGUUUUCAACAUGAUGGAGUUCUGGAGAUGGAAAAAGGAAACCCAACCCACUAAGUAACAGGAGAAAAUACACCACAUUUUAGUAUAAUACAAUAAUGUCAGCCUGACCUGUGGUUUGAGUUCUACAAUUUCAUCCUGAGUGCCUCAGGUACUUGAACCCUCUUUAUGGAGUGAGAAGUUUCCAGGUAACAAGAUUCCUAAGACAUGGAGAUAUUUGAAUAUAACUCAAAAGAAUGUUACAUCUGCUGUGCAGUAAUAAUAAAUGUAAUAGCUGUUACCUCUGCUCUAGGGACUGUCAUUUGAUGUUUAACUUUCAUAAUAACUCUAUGGAAAAAGGAUUAUUACCUCCAUUUUGAAAAGAAUGAAGGAUACUCAGGAGGGGUAAGUGGCUUGCCUAAGGUCAUGUAAUUAAUAAGAGGUGGUGCUGAAAUUCAAACUCAGGUUUAUCUAGCUCUGGAGCCUCUGUUCUAAUCACUGUA